AGCAGCCGCGGUAAUUCCAGCUCCAAUAGCGUAUAUUAAAGUUGUUGCAGUUAAAAAGCUCGUAGUUGAAUUUCGGAAUCAAUGGAUCGGUCAUGCCACUCGGUGUGUACUGGUUUGAUUGGUUCUCACCUUCUAAGGAACCGUGAUGUCAUUAAUUUGGUGUCGCGGGGAAUUAGGACUGUUACUUUGAAAAAAUUAGAGUGUUUAAAGCAAGCUCACGCUUGAAUACAUUAGCAUGGAAUAAUGAAAUAGGACAUUGUAUUCUAUUUUGUUGGUUUCUAGGAUCGAUGUAAUGAUUAAUAGGGAUAGUUGGGGGCAUUAGUAUUCAAUUGUCAGAGGUGAAAUUCUUGGAUUUAUUGAAGACUAACUACUGCGAAAGCAUUUGCCAAGGAUGUUUUCAUUAAUCAAGAACGAAAGUUAGGGGAUCGAAGACGAUCAGAUACCGUCGUAGUCUUAACCAUAAACUAUGCCGACUAGGGAUCGGAUGAUGUUAAUUUUUAAUGACUCAUU
Molecule: ribosomal RNA, 510 nt
Filed under: uncultured Glomus
Lineage: Eukaryota; Fungi; Glomeromycota; Glomeromycetes; Glomerales; Glomeraceae
Description: SSU rRNA
Rfam family: Eukaryotic small subunit ribosomal RNA
Source: RNAcentral